RNA transcript from Prionailurus viverrinus (fishing cat), 1521 nucleotides. It is a transcript of the gene named atherin-like, with no coding region annotated. Lineage: Eukaryota; Metazoa; Chordata; Mammalia; Carnivora; Felidae. The record is from RefSeq and is a predicted model, not a curated record. The transcript is spliced from 3 exons.
GUGGCGGCACUGAGCAGGGCACACGGCGAGCGCCGCGGAGGGGCUGCCCGGCACCGCAGCGGGCUGGGGCCGGGCCGGGGCCAGGCCGCGCCCCCCGCCUGCUCACCGGGAGCCCGCGGUGCAGCCCCGCGGCAGGGGUGUGGACCAAGCGUUCUGCGGCCGCGGCGCCGCGGAGCUCAUGCGCCCGCGCUGCCGUACCUCCGAGGCCCCGCGCCGGCCGGGCGGGAGAAGGAGAGCCGCCUCCUCGCGGAAGAAGCCCGCCAGCCGCGCGCCGCCCCAGUCGGUGCCCUACCUGGGCGCGGAGCGGAGAGGCGACGAGCGAGCAGCAGAGGGGCAAGGGGCCAGCCGCCGCCGCCGCGCAGGUCCGCCUGCCCGCCGCCUGCCAACCAGGCCUGCCCGCCGCUACCUGAGGCGCCGGGUUGGCGCUGCCAACAGGAAACUUGAGAGCGCCAGGGGCGCGGCGGCCGCCCUGUCCGCCGGCCGGAAACGCGCCCGCCGCAGCCCGGGGUCAGUCUCCAGCCGGGCUCCUCCAACCUCGCCUCCCCUGCCACCCGCCGGGCCCAGAGAGCGCUCCCCGCAGUGUUCGGACCCGCCCGAACCUCCUCCCCGGCCAGGACGUUUCUCAAGCAGGGGAACUGCUUCUCUCCAUGUGACCUGAAGACCCUGGACUUCACACUGAUCCUGGAGAUUUGCCCUUCCCACCAGAGCACCGUCAGAAAGGUGUGCCAAUACUUGCUGCAGACCGAAGUCCAGGAAAGAAAUUUACAACCCUUGUGUCUGAAUGUUCUCAUUUCUCUCCCCCUCUCCUCCCUCCCCUCCUCAUUUCCCCUCUCCCUUUCCCUCUCCUUCCUCCUACAACUGGGUGGGCCCAGAGAAGUGGAUGCUAUCCAUUUCCUUUAUGUAAGAUCUUCCACCUUUCUGACUCCAGCCUCAUGCGUAAGCUCUGGGGACAGGCAUAGGAACCCUCCCAAGGCCAGAGCUUUCUUGUGGGUAUGCCUCCAAUGGGCCACGGCUAUGCAGCAAUGUGGGCUGGUCACUCCUGUGGAAGAACCUCACCUACAUCUCCUUGGAAGGUGGCCCUCUCAAGCGGGCCCCCUCUGGCAGCAAGGACAAUAAUCUUCCCCCAGCAGCCAGCUGUGCUGCUUCCCAUUGUGGACAAAGGCGUGUGUGUUCUGUGUGCCCAGGGAGCACAGAGCAUGGGCCGCGAGGGGUUAAGCAGGGCAAGGAGAGCAGGAGGGAGCUCCUGGUGGACACAGCAUCAGAUGGCAGCCCUGAAUCGCUCCCUUCAUGCACAUGUACAGAACCAUUUAAUCUAUUGUCCAAAUCAGUACAUUUUCUUCUUUUCAGAUCAACUUUAAUAGAGUAAAAUGUACCCAUUUUAAAUGUAUGGUACUAUGAGUGACUGAUCUACCAGUGUAACUACUGCUACAACCAAGAUAGAAAGCCUUGCCAUUACCCCCCAAAGUUACUAUGUACCCUUUUGUAGUCACCCCCCACCCUUAGUCCCACUGCUCUCCCAGA